This 67-nucleotide transfer RNA is filed under the name Sinohyriopsis cumingii. RNAcentral describes it as "Hyriopsis cumingii tRNA-Thr". Lineage: Eukaryota; Metazoa; Mollusca; Bivalvia; Unionida; Unionidae. The record is from RNAcentral.
GCCUUUGAAAGCUAUCACCCAAAGCAGUGGUCUUGUAAACCUCAGAAGGGCUUGCGCCCCUAAGGCU